This 852-nucleotide ribosomal RNA is filed under the name uncultured Weissella sp. RNAcentral describes it as "bacterial SSU rRNA". It matches the Rfam family "Bacterial small subunit ribosomal RNA", at positions 28 to 834 of the family's 1533-position model. Lineage: Bacteria; Bacillati; Bacillota; Bacilli; Lactobacillales; Lactobacillaceae. The record is from RNAcentral.
GAUGAACGCUGGCGGCGUGCCUAAUACAUGCAAGUCGAACGCAUUGUGGUUGAAAUGAUAUGAAGAACUUGUUCAGAUUUGAUUUUCAACAUUGCAAUGAGUGGCGAACGGGUGAGUAACACGUGGGAAACCUACCUCUUAGCAGGGGAUAACAUUUGGAAACAAAUGCUAAUACCGUAUAAUAAUUAAAACCGCAUGGUUUUAGUUUAAAAGAUGGUCUUGCUAUCACUAAGAGAUGGUCCCGCGGUGUAUUAGUUAGUUGGUGAGGUAAUGGCUCACCAAGACAAUGAUACAUAGCCGAGUUGAGAGACUGACCGGCCACAAUGGGACUGAGACACGGCCCAUACUCCUACGGGAGGCAGCAGUAGGGAAUCUUCCACAAUGGACGAAAGUCUGAUGGAGCAACGCCGCGUGUGUGAUGAAGGGUUUCGGCUCGUAAAACACUGUUGUAAGAGAAGAAUGACAUUGAGAGUAACUGCUCAAUGUGUGACGGUAUCUUACCAGAAAGGAACGGCUAAAUACGUGCCAGCAGCCGCGGUAAUACGUAUGUUCCAAGCGUUAUCCUGAUUUAUUGGGCGUAAAGCGAGCGCAGACGGUUAUUUAAGUCUGAAGUGAAAGCCCUCGGCUCAACCGAGGAAUUGCUUUGGAAACUGGAUAACUUGAGUGCAGUAGAGGAAAGUGGAACUCCAUGUGUAGCGGUGAAAUGCGUAGAUAUAUGGAAGAACACCAGUGGCGAAGGCGGCUUUCUGGACUGUAACUGACGUUGAGGCUCGAAAGUGUGGGUAGCAAACAGGAUUAGAUACCCUGGUAGUCCACACUGUAAACGAUGAGUGCUAGUUGUUCGAGGGUUUC